RNA transcript from Manduca sexta (tobacco hornworm), 3025 nucleotides. RefSeq lists it as uncharacterized. NCBI's taxonomy places the organism in Eukaryota, Metazoa, Arthropoda, Insecta, Lepidoptera, Sphingidae. The transcript is spliced from 3 exons. The record is from RefSeq and is a predicted model, not a curated record.
GCUGUAUGGCUGAGAGCCUUUGCCUUCUCCUUAAGGAGUAAAUCAAACCAAAACAAAAGAAAUAAUGAAAAACAAAUUCUUACAAUUGAAGUUUAAAUUAAGAGUUUUUAUUUGCCUUCCCCUGGAGCAAAUCAAACCAAAAAAAACAAGAAUUUUUAUAAUCUGAUUUAUAUUACUCUAACGUAUAAUAUUAUGCUGCUUUAUGCCUACAAUCGUCGCAUAUAAUCUUUUCAAUCGUCGUAUGAUGCCGAUUACUUUACUUCAAAUCGAAAGUUUUAUAAAUCGCCGGUGACCUAUAGGAGAAAACACAAUAGCUCUGGCGAAGCGGUAACCCCGGGUUACCCCUGACCGGUGCUCAAACUAGGGAGCCGUGAAGCUCAGUGCGCAUGCUCGAAGCCCAAUUGGUGGCCUCAAUUUGCUCGCAAAUCAAUAAUGCCCCUUUCCGAGAUUCCGGGCGACCGGAGCAAAAUAUUCCAGUCGACGCUUGUUUGACGAUACGACUCCGUGCGUUCAUAAAAUAUUUUGUUUCCUGAUAGAAGUGACAAGAAUUGUUCUAGUCUUUUGAAAAUGGCCGAGGCACUAGAUCAAGGCGCCAGUAUUUUUCAGAAAUUGGCAAUGUACGACUACAGGAUUGGCGAGAGGUAUUGGGUCGAUGUGACUCAUAUUGUAAACCCUUACAGCUUCUAUGUGCGCCCUGUGGUCUUCAGGGAAGAUCUAGAAUAUUUGCAAGAGACUUGUGAUCAUUUUGACCCAGGUAUGUUACAAGAAGGCAAAAUCAUCAUUUACAAAUCUGAGUUUUUGGAUUUAUAUGCCAUUGAUUAUGGAUCUGAGGACAAUACUGUGCCGCUUUGGAGGAUGCGCCAUCCCAAGCAUGAAAUAGCUAUUCCACCACUGGCUGCGCAUUGUGUCCUUGCUGAUUGCAAAUCGUUGGACCCAGGCACAUGGGCUGAGGAAACUAUUGGAAGCUACGAAAUCAUAUGUGGGAAAGAUGAACGUGCUCGGAUGACAGUCAAGGGAAGAACUGGUGAUCAACUUGUUGUUGAAUUAGUCAAUUCAUGCCCAAAUGAUAUUGCUACCAUGCUUACAUUGACUGGCUAUACUGCUAUGGGUAGCUCAGCUGAAAUGCCAGGUGGUAAUCGUGCCAAUCCACCUUUGAUGGGCGAUAUUUUGGAUGCAAGCUUGUCAAAGUUGGAGAUGUCCUGCAUGUCAGAUGCCAGACUGGAAAAGAUCUUUCUGGAUUCUAUGUAGCUGAAGUUGGUGAUUUCAACCAGUAUUUAAGUGAUCGUAAUGAUUUCACUGAUUACUGCAUCUAUCAAAAAACUCCUCGAGCAAAUGAAUUGGUCAUUGGAAGGGGUGUGGGCUAUAAGUCUCAAUGCAUGACAAAAUUUGAGAGAUCAGUAGUACGAGAGGUCAUCUGCCCAACCAAAGUGGUUGUGCAACAAAUUGAUUGGGGCGACACAUAUGAGGUCCACAUAAAUCAACUGAAGCUUGUUAAGCCAAUGAUUUUUGGCCAGACCACAGCAGUGGCUCUUUAUUGUCGUGAUUUCUAAAGAGCAGGAGGAUGAAAUCGAACCAACUGCAUUUCUUUAUCCAGGUGUUGAAUUUUUAAUCACUAUUAGGCAAGUGGGUGAAAACUUCAAUACUCCCCACAUUGUAGAUAUCUCUGAAUUGUUAACCAAGUAAAUGUUUGAUAUGUUUUUUUAAACACUUGGUUUCUCAUUACCGAAUUAGAUUUUACGCCAUUGGAUACUGGGAACCAAAACAAAUUAAAAAAAAUAUAGGAGCUUAUAACAAUUAUGCUAGGUCCAGAUCCUUUUUAAAAUGGUCUUGAUUUAUUGUUUUAACAUUGAAAGGAAAAAUUUAAUGUUUUAUUUAUUAGUUAAUCAAAGAUCUAUGUUAAGAUAAUUAGUAUAAUUUAAUCUUGCACAUAUAAUGUGUCUAUUUAAAGUUAUAAAUGUAACUAGUUGUUGUGUAAUUGAUGUUAAUUAAAAUUUUAGAAAUAUUAUAAUAUUGAUGAAUUAUUCAGUAUUAAUUCCUGUUUUUUUGAGCUAUCCACAUAUAAAGAUUUUAUAUAUGUUUCCUUUUAUUGGCUAAUUUUAUAUCUCAAAAAAUUAUAUUAGUAUUCUGUUUAAGACUGAAUUUAGACUGAUCUUCAUUUUUUGUAUUAUCCAUUAAGAUUAUUUGUAAACUUAGAUAUCUAUGUUAAGAACUGAUUUGGAAAAAAGACUAUAUUUAUUAUAUGUACUCCUUUUGGAUAUUAGAAUAUAUAUUUAUAUACAUAUAUACACACUAAGUGCAUGCCAUAUUAAAAACUAUGAUCUAUUAUACCUAUUUAACAGUUUUGUUAUUUUCUUUUAAUUAUGUACUUAUCUAUAGAAGAUUUUUGUGAUUUUCUAAAAAUACUUUAACUGAUGUAUGCCAAAACCACAUUUUAGUAGUUAAAUAUAUUUCUUAUAUCUAUUUUACUUUACGACAUUAAAUGAUUAAAUGUAAUGAGUAAGUACAUCUUAUCUGCAGUUUUAACUAUAAGUUUUUAACAUUAAUAUAAGUAACCAAUGUUUUAAAACAAUUUAAAAAAUCUACUUCAAUGAAUAAUGUACCUUCAUAUUUAGAUGUACGCUUUUAAACAGUGGAUGUAAUUUUCAAAAUAAUAUGAAGUAAAAGCAGAGGUAAAUGAUAUUUUAAAACCAUAAACUCUUUUAAUGGAUGUUACAUGAUAUAUUUUAAUUAAUAUAUUUAUAAGUAAUAUUUUUCUUCUUACUGAUAAUAUUCAACUCAAAGUAAUGUUUAUAAUAGGUACAAUGACGUACUAAAAACAUCAGAAGAAAUAGGCUUUAAGAAGAACAACUUGAAGAGGAGAGAAAACCCACCAACUGACACAUUACAUUAGUAAUGUCAAGCUCCAGGCCAGUGUGAAGAUAUUACUUACUUAAAACGUCGUAUCCUAGUACUAAUUUAGUGUCCUAACUACAAAUUUACAAUAAAAUAGAUUCCAUAAUAUGUUAAAAUAAAUAGCUUGAUGUCG